AUGAACGCUAGCGACAGGCCUAACACAUGCAAGUCGAGGGGCAGCACAAGGAGCAAUCUGAGGUGGCGACCGGCGCACGGGUGAGUAACACGUAUGCAACCUGCCUGUAAGCGGGGAAUAACCCGUUGAAAGACGGACUAAUACCGCAUAAUACUAAAUUACUGCAUGGUAAUUUAUUUAAACAUUUAUGGCUUACAGAUGGGCAUGCGCAUGAUUAGCUAGUUGGAGAGGUAACGGCUCCCCAAGGCAACGAUCAUUAGGGGUUCUGAGAGGAAGGUCCCCCACACUGGUACUGAGACACGGACCAGGCUCCUACGGGAGGCAGCAGUGAGGAAUAUUGGUCAAUGGACGAGAGUCUGAACCAGCCAAGUCGCGUGCAGGAAGAAUGUUCCCUAUGGAUUGUAAACUGCUUUUGCAGGGGAAUAAAGUGCAUCACGUGUGAUGUUUUGUAUGUACUCUGCGAAUAAGGAUCGGCUAACUCCGUGCCAGCCGCCGC
Molecule: ribosomal RNA, 496 nt
Filed under: uncultured bacterium
Lineage: Bacteria
Description: bacterial SSU rRNA
Rfam family: Bacterial small subunit ribosomal RNA
Source: RNAcentral